This 167-nucleotide long non-coding RNA is filed under the name Cavia porcellus (domestic guinea pig). Its description in RNAcentral is "lncRNA (ENSCPOG00000038876.1)". Lineage: Eukaryota; Metazoa; Chordata; Mammalia; Rodentia; Caviidae. The record is from RNAcentral.
CUGAAGUCCACGACACUACCAAGUGCUGGUGUUGAAAAGAUCAAAGAACAAGCAAGCAAACACGUGCCACCAUGCCUGGCUCUAAUUCACUUUUAAUUGCCUCUUGAAAAGAGAAUGGGGCGAGGCCCAUUAAAAAAGUGACUUGACGUAAAGUAUUGAUAAUCCGG